GAUCCGCUAGCUCAGUAGGUAGAGCAACUGCCUUUUAAGCAGUGGGUCUGGAGUUCGAAUCUCCAGCGGGUCACCA
RNAcentral lists this transfer RNA (76 nucleotides) under Eubacteriales bacterium. Its description in RNAcentral is "tRNA-Lys". It matches the Rfam family "tRNA". From Rfam's summary of the family: Transfer RNA (tRNA) molecules are approximately 80 nucleotides in length. Their secondary structure includes four short double-helical elements and three loops (D, anti-codon, and T loops). The record is from RNAcentral. Lineage: Bacteria; Bacillati; Bacillota; Clostridia; Eubacteriales.